UUAUCAUACCAGCCUCACUUUUCAGCUGUUACUUUUUCAGGAGUUCACCCCCCAUCUCCUCCUUUUCUCUUGGAUUGACAAGGCUGACAGAGGCACCUGUAAGCACUUGCUUUCUUGAUCCUGGCUUUAAUGAUUAGCUUAAGGAGUCUCAUAUGCUCCUGUCAUACCUAGUGCUACCUCUGUCAACAUUCUUUUCAACACAGCAGACUUUGAUUGCGCUUAGAGACAAGGUCUGCAGCACCUGUUUUCAAAGGAAAUGGAAAGGCAGAUAUUCUGCUUAUGAAGAUUGACUUAGUAAUGGAGCCAAGGUUAACAAAUUCACCUGGAGAUUUCCUAUGGCUCUUGACUUUGUGCUUCUCUAAUCUGGAAGGAUGUACUGAUGGUAAGGUGGUUUUGGAGAGCUGCUGAUGAGCCUCUUUCAUUGGUUUGCCUAUACUGCUUUCAUCAAGACAACACAUCCAGCCACCGAUACUCCAGGAGACACCUAACAGGGCACAAACUGAGAAGAAAUUUCCAUGUGGAUUUAGCCCACCUGACAGCUGUUUCAUCUCUCAGGUCCUCAUGACCAAGGUCAGAGGCUUGAGCAGAGCUGCUGUUUGCUCAUCAGAACAAAGGAAGUCUUUAAGCUGGUUUUACCACCCUAUCAAACUUUUGUGGGUGAGGCAGGAGAGAACAAACUCGUUUUCAGGACCGCAGAGGUAUACAAAUCUCAGGGUAAGCAGAUAUACAUAUAGGUGUCUGAUGACUCAUCUGAUAUACCUGAUUAGUGAGAAAGAGUGCUUUUGAGGUUAAGACACUGGAGAGGAUUCAGGAAAUCUGGAUUUUGUUCCCAGCCCCACCGCAGAUUUGCCUGUGGCAUCUUGAGUAAGUGUGUUUGCUUGUGCCUCAGCUCUCUGCGUGUAAAGGGGGCACAGGACUAUUUGCCUCCUUGCUUUUCCUUCAGAAAGACAGGACAAGCACAUAGGUAAGUGUCCCUAACCCAUAUGGGCUCUCAUCUCACUGGGAUCUCUUAAUACCAUCAGUGUGUGAAUCACAGUGCACAAGGGAAGAGAGAAACCUAUACUUAACACAUGUAUGUAGAGAGGAUGAACGGUUCCAGAAGUAUCAGUGAAGUAUCAGAAGUUGGCCACUUCUGGGAACAGUUAUCAUCUUCCUGGCAUCUGUCUCUGGCAAUCUCAAGCUGUUAAUGAAAAUUUGAAUCAAACAAGGACUGAGCAUUUUGUUUCAUGAUUUGCAGGACAGUUAAGUAUUUAAAUGCUUCCAUUUACCUUCCUUCAUGAAAAUGCAUAUUCAGGUCCUGUCUGCAAGAACAACAGAAUUGAAACAAAUGCAGAGCAAGACAAAGCUACCUGGACAAUAUGGAAGUAGUGGGCAGCAACAUUAUUUCUCUUUGUUCAUUAGGCAUAUCAAUUGCAUUUAUUACAUGGUCAUAUCAGUUAUAUGGGUCACAAAAUACUAAUUGUUAGAUGGGCCUAAAGAGGUAGCACUGAGCACCAGAAAUGUUUGGUAUGAUAAUUUGUCCAUCCUUCUGUUAGAUUCAAAUUCUGUUCUUGCUGGCUGAAUUACAAAUUCAACCAAGCCCAGUCAUUCAGCCCUCCACACUCUCCUGCAACCAAAAAUAAACAUUAUUAUUUUUAUUUCUAAUAGCAGUAACAUGAGUGAGUGUGAAUCUCUAGACAUGGCCCGUUAUGCAUUUUUUUUGGUUUUAGUGGUCUUUCUAUCCAUUUAACCCAUUCUAGGUUAGUAUUCAGAGAUCAUGCUUUGAGGUUCUGUCUUGCAGUAGCUUGCUUUAAGGCUGUUGUAAGGCACUCUCUUGAGAGUCUCUUUUCUUGGCAAAAUCUUGUAGCAGCAGGCUUUGUAGGCAGACUUCUUUCAUUACAUAACCUUUUCCUCUUGAUAGGGCAUCUGUAGUACCGGAGGGAGGAGGAUGCCUGAUGCAGACAGGUUUUAUCCUCCCACCUUAUUUUCGUGUCCAUGCAUUUUCUCCUCUUUAAGAGAACUCUAAUACUUCCCCUUGCUACUGAAAGUAGGUGGAGGAACAGUCAGUUUUUCCUAUCCUUGGCAAAAUGUUUUCCUGGCACUGUUGGAUAUUGUGGAGCAAGGAGCACAAACACUCUCACUGUUGCACUGAAGCAGAAGGAGGAGCUGUGCUCCAGCUAGAUUUUCUGGGCAGGUAUAUGACCCAUCAGAGAUCCACUGACAGCACCAAUAGAACAGUGACAUGAGCACCUAUGUUAGAUUCUCCAUGUAGAGAUGACAUUACAGUGGUGCAGUAAAACACACGGGGUCACCUCCUGGCACACUCUGAACAUGCACAAUGGAGUGGGAAAUGCCAUAAUGUUUUCUGGGAAACAGGCCUUUCAAACCUCAUAGCCAUCUGAGCCCACCUCCUUGGGAGCAGAGAUUUAAACUUGAGUCUCACAUUCUGGGCAUAUAUCCUCAUUCUUUAGCCUUACAGAGAAAGGUGAGAGUGUCAGGUUUGUUUUAUAAUUGAAUGCAGGUGUUUAAUUAGCUAUGACAAAGUAGAUCAGAUUCAGCAGAGUAUUAUUAAGGAAGUCCUGUUCCCAAAUACCUGAGAAGGUGGUGAUGAGGACACUCUCCUCAAUGGGAGACCGAGGUUUGGAUCUGCUUUCUAAUCAGAUGUGUGGGUGAGGAGAGAGGAGGAAGACUUGAAAGCAAUUUCCUACCUCUUAUGUGGCUAAGGGAAAAUAUGGGUGAGAUAACUGUUAGUUGUUUUUCAGUAUUUUUUCUUAUCUCUGAGAAAGGAUUUACAGCUGGGACUCCCAGAGGAGAUAGGUGCCACCUUCUCUCCCAGUGGUAGCUAGAGCUGGCUCUGCUUAAUUGCUUCACCACUAAAUACUGCACACCACGUGGCCUCUUGUAGACAUUUCUUAUCCGUCAGCUUGGGCAGCUUCUUUUUCUGCUCUCCAGCUUCUCUAAUCCCAUCCUGAGUUGUCAGAUUUACUUUCUCCCCUACACCAGACCUGGCAUCCUGGGAUGCCUGUGUCUCUAACCCAGGGCUGAGGAUUCCAGUGUACACUGGGAUACCCUAGGCCCAUCCUUGUUGGGAUGAAGUGUCAACUCCCUUCAGAAGGAUGCUAAUUUUCAUUGAUGGUUGAACAAGUCUUCAGACUCAAAGUUCUCCUCACCUGCUGACGUCCCUGGACCUGACACAUAUGGUGUUACAUAUGUGCAUUUCUCUUGUUUGCUUCAUGAGGUCAGGUUUUCCACCUCCUCCAAAAAGUGGAAAAAAGUGAUUUACAAGUCUUGUCACGUUCUAGUUGGCAUGGCACCAUUUUCUGCCACACUGAACUGUGGCUCUAUAACAUCCACCGAGUAAUCUUUGUAAGGACACUUGUCUACACUCUGUCCUGGAUCCAGUAGCUGAUGUUAGGAAGCUCACCAGAGCUUUACUUCUCCAGUUCCUGCUCUGCAGGUCUUCUGGUUAAUGUUUCUAGCUUUAAUCAAAAAAGAUGAUGUCAACAGGAAUCAAACUGUAGGCUUUCCCGGUGCUGAUUGUAACCUUCAUUGUUGGUUAAUUGAUAAAAGUGCUAAAAGUCUGUUUCAGAAUUUCUGUUUCAUAAAAAUGUCUUCUUUGUUGAAGUAUCAAUUAACCGUCUUGGUUCAAAGUUUAUUUCUCUUGUGAGGAGCCAUUUAUUCUGUAAUAAUUGUCUAGAUUCUGACAUUAAAUACUGUAAUUUCUCCUGCUAUGUUUAAAACCACUUCCAAAGGCUUCUAUGUUUUAUUUCCUUGCCAUUUUCUACAUAAAUAGCUGGAGUUUUUUCAUGCUUGGGGAGAUUAAUAAAACUAUAGAGUAGAUUGUGAAAUUCAUCCCAAACCAAAAUACAAUGAGCUCCAUUCCAAGACCUCCUGCAGGCUCCAUUUCUUUAAUUAAAUAUAUGCCAAGGUUCCUCUCCAUGAAGUAAAUAUAUAAAACUGCAUAUUUGAGGGCAAUUAUAAGCUACUGUAUUUUGACAUUUCUUCACUGCAAAUCUUUUAACCUUUAUUAAGGGAAUUCUGGUUGAAUGGAUUUCUACUUGAGAUAUAUAUAGUAAGAAAGCUUAAUGUCUGUAUGAAAUUAUGGACAAACUAAAGAGAAAUCACAGGAAAUGUGAGCAGAAGAAACCCUGAUUUUGGUCCUGCCAAGGGCUGUGGUCAGGCAGUGUUCAUCAUUAGCUGGAGCUACAUAAUUGUACUGAAAGCAGAGAAGAGUGUUUGUUGUGGGGAAUGUUCACCUUUCUUCAUUCAGUCUGGCUUUGCUGGUGCACAGAACAGCAUGUUUCCAAGCCUUGUUGCAGUCGUGCCACAGGAAAGGAGACAAGGCUGGUUUCAAAUGGAGCAGUGUAGUGGGUUGAUGCUGUCUGGAUGCCUGACACCCACCAAAGCCUGUCUGCAGCUGGAUAGGGGAGACAAAAUAUAACAGAGGGUUCAUGAGCUGAGAUAGGGACAGAGAUCACUCAUCAAACACCACCAUGGGCAAAACAGGCUCAGAUUAGAGAUAUUAACUGAAUUUAUUAUGAACAAUAUCAGAGCAAGAUAAUGAGAAGUAAAACAAAACCUUAAAAGCAACUUCUCCCCACUCCUCCCUUUUUCCCUACUCUACCUCCUCCCCUCUGGCAGCCCAGGGGAUGGGGAAUGGGGGUUGUGGUCAGUUCAUCACACAUUGUUUCUGUUGUUCAGCGACAGGAGCCCUUCCCCUGCUUCACUCUCCUCUGGCCACAGUUACAACACCACAAUAUCUUUGGGGGUUUUGGGGUUUUUUUUGGGGUUUUUCUUUUUUUUUUCCUUCUUAAAUAUGUGAUCACAGAGGUGUUACCAGCAUUUCUAAUUGGCCCAGACUUGAACAGCAGCAUAUCCAUCUUUGGAGCUGCCAGGGAUUGGCUCUGCUGGACAUGGAGGAAGCUUCUGGCAGCUUCUCACAGAAGCCACCCCACUACCAACGCUUGGCCAUGCAAAGCCAGUACAGGCAGAUGCUGUGUGUACAAGCUCAGACAGCCAAGACAAAAGCCCUCUGUUCCUGCACUGUUUUGUUUUGAAUGGAAGCAAGUCAUCAAUUGCUUCCUUCCCUGUGGUCAAUCUUCCUCUGUCAGUAGUUUCUUCUGACUGAGUGGUGGUGUGAAAUGUGAGAUAAAGGUGUGAGGGUGACUCUGGAUAAAUAAGCAGGGCAGGAUGGCCUGGAAGGAGGCGCUCUGGAUAGGGGAGCAUUACUCCAAGGCAGGGACAUUUGCAGGUCUGUUGACACUAAAGUGGAGGAUACAGGACAUUCCUGGGGUGUAUGGACCUUCUGCCCUCAGGAAUAGGGGGCUGAUGUGCUGUCAGUGGCCACGUUGUGAGUGGGAUUGCCAAGGCAGAGGUGGGUGGUGGAUGUGCAGGAGAGCCAUGAAAGUCCUGGACUGCAUCCAGGUUUCCACUCCCAGAGGAGGCCAGAGUCCUGCUGACCCUUGUAUCUCUAUCUCAGACCAUCAGGCAUGCCUGGUAUUUUCCCAAAACUACUCUGGAUAUCAGGGGAAUGGGAGAAAAAACUUUUCUGAGGAGGAUAUAGGAAGGCUGAAAGUAGGAAUCAUAGGUAGGGUUCUGUUUCAGACAUGGCCUGGAGCAGCAGAAGCUCCUGCAGCUGCCAUUGCAGACACUGGCAUGUAGGUUCAUUCAUGUGGGAAACCUGUGUGAUAUGGGAAAUUUCCUGGCAAUGGAACCACAGCUCCUGCUCAAGCUGGGACACUACAGCAUGCCCAUAGUUUGGGUAUCAUUUUGAGCAAACCCAGCAGUGUUUGGGAGCUGCUGCAGGCUAGUGGUUUGCAAACUCUCCAUCAUAUGCCUUGCAUAUGAUCUUGAACUUUUCUUAAACUGGAGUUCUGUACUGGAAACACAGACGAACACAUGCUACACUUAUGUACUGUUAGAUCUGAGCCUGUUCAAACCUGCUGACUUGACAACAGGUUACCUGAUGAAAGCAGUCUUACUUCACUGAAAAUCCAGAUGAAUUUUCUUACUUAGCAUAGUUGCCAGCUUUUUUUGUUUGUUUGUUUUGUUUUUGUUUUAGUUGUUUGUUUGUUUGUUUGUUUUUUACUGGUAGUCAUCCUUUCGUAGGAAAGAACAGCAGAAUAAAACUUGAACUUGACAUUCUUAGCUGGUCAAAACAGAUAUUGUGUCUCGACAACUCUGAAUUUUCCUUCCAAUACAUGUGUUGAAGGUUUGCCAUGGAUAUUUUUCUGCCUUUUAAGAAAAAACAUUAGAUGAUCCAUCUAUAAGAGGAUCUCUGACAUCAAUUGGUAAUGGAUACUGCACAUUAAAAAGAUUCAUUCUGAACAGCUCCUGCCCCACACAAACCCUAAGCCUGUUUGGCCUGACCUUCUGUGGCUUUUCUUGCCUGCAGAAUAACUCAUGAAAUUUUUAGCAUUCCUGCAAUCAUAACAUCUGGGCCUCAUUGUUCUAUACCUUGGGAAAAAGGGGGGCAGUGACAAACACAUUUCCAAUUCACAUCCUCUUUCAUCUGCUUUUCUACAAGUCUUGAAUCAAGAUGCUCAAGCACAAAUUUUUGCUGGUCAUUUCUGGCUGCCCUCCUGAGGAGCAGCCAGCAGAGUGAUCCUGUGCAUGCAGCACAGGUCCUUUCAUGUGUUGGGCAAGUAAACAGAAGAGUCACUUAUUCAAAAUAUUCUCUGUAUUGGGUUUGCAUGGCCAGCUUUCAGUAGUGAGGAUGGCUAUAGGGGUGACUUCUGUGGGAAGGUACUGGAAGCUCCCCCUAUGUCAAGUGGAGGCAAUGUUAGUGAGCUGCAAGAUGGACCCAAUGCUGGCAAUGCUGAACCCAUCAGCAACAGUGAAUGCCUUGAGGGUAACGUUUUCAUGAGGAAGGGAAAAAAUUUCAGCACUGCAACAAUUGCAGCCAAAGAAAGGACUAAGAAUGGAUGAGAGGAAAACCUCUCCAGACACCCAGGUCAGUGCAGAAGGAGGAUGAAGUGAUAUUCCAGGCAUCAGAAGUGAGAUCCUCUGCAGUCUGUGGUGCAGUCCAUGGUGAAGCAGCUGUGUCCCUGCAGCACAUGGAGGUCUACAGUGGACCACAGAAUCACCUGCAGACCCUGAAGGACCCAGCGUCAGAGCAGGAGGAUGCCCAAAGGAGUCUGUAACCCCAUGGAAAGCUUGCACUGGAGCAGGGUCCUGACAGGAUUUAUGGACCUGUGGGGAGAGGACACAAUGCUGGAGCAGGUUUGCUGUCAGGAACUGUGAUACUGUUGGUGACUCAUGCUGGAGAAUUCUGUUCCUGAAGGACUGCAGGCCGAGGUGGUGAUCCACACUGGAGCAGUUUGUGAAGAGAGGCCUUGGGAAGUACUCAGAUUGGAGAAUUGUGUCUCCUCUGGCAGGGACUCCAUGUGGAACAAGGGAAGAGUGUGAGGAGUCCCUCUCCUGAGAAGGAGGAAACAGCAAAGCCAACAUGUGAUGAACUGACCAUAGCCCCCAUUCCCUAGCACCACUGCUGGGGAGGAAGGAGAGGAUCUGGGAGUGAAGCUAAACCUGGGAAGAAGGGAGAUGUGGGGAGGAGGUGUUUUUUUUAAGAUUUGGUUUUAUUUCUCAUUAUCUUAUUCUGAUUUGAUUGGUGACAAAUUAAAUUAGUUUUUUCAAGUUGAAUCUCUUCUGCCCAUUAACUCUUCCUCUGCUUAUCUUGACCCAUGAGUCUUUCCUUGUAUUUUCUCUCCCCUGUCAAGCUGAGAAGGGAAGUGACAGAGGGGCUUUGGUGGGCAUCUGACAUCCAGUCAUGGUCAACCCCCCACACGCUGGAAGAUUUUUAGCAACCUAUUAAAAAUACCAAAUUAGUGCCAGUAUGUGAAUUAUGUUUUUUCUUGUCCCUUCAACAGAUCUACAGGAUUUUCUCUCUUGCACAUCACUAAACUUUGAGCUAGGCACGUCAAGAGGAAUUCAGUGAUUUGAAGAAAAUCAUCUUCCUGUACUUGUUGCAAAGAGAAGUUGAAUAGUUAAAAAAAUAAUUAUGACCCUUAGUAUUUUACUCUUCACUAAUAAUUUACUUUUGCAUCAGCUGCACUUUGUCAUGUUACACAGCAUGUAGGAAAUGCCAUCAAUAAGCUGCAGCCUUUCAAAGGUCGGGGGUCACGAUGCCCAUUCUGAUGGACAAAAGCAUUAUAGGAGCAAUGCCUGUGUUUGGGGCUGGGAAGGGUAAGAUUUCAGUACAGCCACAGACUCAUUAACUAAAGGAGUACAGUGCUGCUUUGUUGUUAUGAUUUGAUAGAAUGCUUGGAAACAAGCAAAGAUCAGUUUGUGUUUGCGAAGGAAUAAUUCAGCUUCGUGUGGAUGCCUUUUAUUUUUAGAGAAAUGUGUCUCCCUUAGACCCUUGUAAAAAUAAAUUGUGUGGAGCAGAGGGACAUUGCUUGCAUGCAGAAUCAACUAUUUGCCAAAUGUUUUCUUUGUUUAAAAUAUGCACUUGCUAGACUGAAGCCCAAACUGCAAAGUUCAAACCAACACUCAAAUUCUAAACAGCGCAGACUUUAAAGUCACUGAAGUCCAACUGGGAAUCAUGGCACUAUAAGCAGUCCUGGAGUUAAAUUUUUACAGCAGCCUUUGCUUACAAAAUAUCAGAAGAGGUGCAAGUGCUACCACCUGUUUCCUUCAUCACCACUCCCAGUUUUUGCAACAGCUCAGCGGUUACUGUGCUCCACCAGGAUGGGAAUGACCCGACUUUGGUUUUUGGAGAGAUGAUAAAGCAUUUGAACCUAUGGGCUCUCAGGGUGUGCUCAAGAGGGUCUCCUUCAGACUGUCCUGCAAAAGGACACUGUUUUCAUCAAAUGCUAGAUUUAAAAAAAAAAGUAUUUGAACAUGAAUAUUUUUUAUCUCAGGCAAUAUUACCUAUAAGAGAGAGACAAGAGUAGCAAGACUUGCUCCAGCAAAAACAUUGUUAGGGCAGAAUCCUCAAGCAGGUGUUGGAGCUAAGAGCUGAAACCAAGUUUUAUAUUUUUUCCUAAGUGGACACCUUCAUCCUCACUAAGUCAGUGUCAAGGACAUGCUUUGUGUCCCUGUCUGGCUCCUUUAGCACACAGGAUUACUGCAGGCAGGGCAGGGCAGAGCAGUGACUGAAAACCUGGAUUUGGGAGGGGAUGAUGGGGUGGGGGAGCAGGGAAGGGAUGUCUCCACCAGCCCAGGAUGGGCCACUCUUUCACGUCCCUAGGGAAACACAUCAAGCCAUCCGAUAGAAGUACAGGGCAAUCAGUGGCCUGAUAUUCCUUACCCACCCCAGUUAGGUACACACAUUUUAGAUAACAUUGUUGGUCAGAGGCCAUAGUCAAUGACAGCCUGCAGGGGAAUGUUAGGUGACCAGCUACACAUUGUUAGUUCAUUUAGUUUAAUAACUAUGAAUAACUUUGCAGACAAGAAGUUACUUGGUAAAGUGGAAGGAUUUUAUUAAAAUCUAAUUUUAUUUUUAGUGAAAUGUAAUGAAGGACAACAGCUGGUGAUAAUAGCUAGCUGAUAAUAGCUGAUAAUAGUAUAUGAAAACAGAAGGUUUAUCAUUCAGCAUAUCACAGUGCAUGGCUUGAAUGUUCAGAGCUGCUUCUUAGCAAUUUUAAGAUGAUACCUAUGGGUAUUGGGCACUUGCAUGCUUCUAGAUCCUUGGUUCCAAGUGUUCCUUCACAAGGCUAUUCUGUGAACCAGGUUCAAAGCUUUCAGUGGGGAAAUCUCCCAUGAAAGGCUCUUGCUUCCUCUGUGAUCCCUGGUAAUCUUUCCCUAAGAGAAAAAUCUGCAUUACUGUGGUCUGAUUUAAAUAUGCAAGCAGAGUUUGACUUUUUCCCUUACUCUGUAAUUAAUGUAUAAAGUACCCAUCUCUUGGCAGCAUCUCUGGGUGGUGUGUAACACAGGAGCACUCAGCCCACCUGGGCUGCAGAGCUGGGGUUCGCUCCUGCCAUCAAAGCGGACACUACCAGGCAAGGAAAAAAAGCAAGCUGAAGGAAGGCUGCCAUGCUCAGUGACAAAGUGACCUGAAGAGAAAGGCCUGAUGUACCCAGCUGGGGAUGCCAGCCACCGAGAGACCCCAGUGGACAUCCUCGGGGAAGAAGCUCCAUAGACAGAGUCCCUGCCGAGAACGUUCAAACAGCAAACCCAAGCGCAGCAAAACUGUACAGUUAAAAAAAAAAAAGAAAGGAAAAAAAGAUAGUUUUCAUGUUCCAUAAGGCUAUGAUUAUGUGAUAUACAUAUUUUUAUUCAAGAUCAAAGCGUUGUUUUUAAUAGUUAAAUAUUCACAUAUGCAAAUGAGCUUUGAUUUGCAUAAAGUGAUAAUUAUGUUAUUCAUUAGGACUUGGUAAAUGUUGUGCUCAAAUUCCAUGAUCAUUUUGCUUUAGGGUUACUGAGAAACAAGUUUAUGAGUUUGAGGGAAAAUCUAUUGUGAAAGUAAACGGCGGAGUUUAUUUCCACCAAGCCGGGAUGAUUUCCCUACCUCCUACGUUCCCAGGAUGGCAUGUCCAGUCUAGCCCAUUAUAUCAGCUAAUGUCUGUGGGGAGGCCCAGGGCUGCUGUCCCUGCAAGGUCAUCUGUCAAUGCCAGCCGGGGAGGGGGAGCUGUCAGUCUCGCCGUGUCAUUGUCCCUUCCCAGCUGCCCCGCCGCGCUCUGCCCGGCCGGCUCGGGGCUGCGGGAGCG
This is a long non-coding RNA of Passer domesticus (house sparrow), 10628 nucleotides long. RefSeq lists it as uncharacterized. The transcript is spliced from 3 exons. The record is from RefSeq and is a predicted model, not a curated record. Lineage: Eukaryota; Metazoa; Chordata; Aves; Passeriformes; Passeridae.